UAUAAAAUACAGAUUUCAGUG
This 21-nucleotide non-coding RNA is filed under the name Caenorhabditis elegans. The record is from RNAcentral. Lineage: Eukaryota; Metazoa; Nematoda; Chromadorea; Rhabditida; Rhabditidae.